GAUUAACGCUGGCGGCGUGCCUAACACAUGCAAGUCGAACGAGGUAGCAAUACCUAGUGGCAGACGGGUGAGUAACGCGUGGUCAACCUACCGUUGAGUGGGGGAUAACUAGCCGAAAGGUUAGCUAAUACCGCAUACGGGGUCGAGGGGCAUCCCCCGAUCUUAAAAGGAGCAAUCCGCUCGAUGACGGGACCGCGUCCCAUUAGCUAGAUGGUGGGGUAAUGGCCUACCAUGGCUCCGAUGGGUAGCUGGUUUGAGAGAGCGACCAGCCACACUGGGACUGAGAAACGGCCCAGACUCCUACGGGAGGCAGCAGUGAGGAAUUUUCCGCAAUGGGCGAAAGCCUGACGGAGCGACGCCGCGUGUGGGAAGAAGGCCUUCGGGUCGUAACC
RNAcentral lists this ribosomal RNA (392 nucleotides) under uncultured bacterium. RNAcentral's name for it is "bacterial SSU rRNA". It matches the Rfam family "Bacterial small subunit ribosomal RNA", at positions 28 to 430 of the family's 1533-position model. The record is from RNAcentral.